Molecule: ribosomal RNA, 800 nt
Filed under: Staphylococcus sp. JSM 2175017
Lineage: Bacteria; Bacillati; Bacillota; Bacilli; Caryophanales; Staphylococcaceae
Description: bacterial SSU rRNA
Rfam family: Bacterial small subunit ribosomal RNA
Source: RNAcentral
CCGUGGCGGGGUGCUAUACAUGCAAGUCGAGCGAACAGAUAAGGAGCUUGCUCCUUUGACGUUAGCGGCGGACGGGUGAGUAACACGUGGGUAACCUACCUAUAAGACUGGGAUAACUUCGGGAAACCGGAGCUAAUACCGGAUAACAUUUGGAACCGCAUGGUUCUAAAGUGAAAGAUGGUUUUGCUAUCACUUAUAGAUGGACCCGCGCCGUAUUAGCUAGUUGGUAAGGUAACGGCUUACCAAGGCGACGAUACGUAGCCGACCUGAGAGGGUGAUCGGCCACACUGGAACUGAGACACGGUCCAGACUCCUACGGGAGGCAGCAGUAGGGAAUCUUCCGCAAUGGGCGAAAGCCUGACGGAGCAACGCCGCGUGAGUGAUGAAGGGUUUCGGCUCGUAAAACUCUGUUAUUAGGGAAGAACAAAUGUGUAAGUAACUGUGCACGUCUUGACGGUACCUAAUCAGAAAGCCACGGCUAACUACGUGCCAGCAGCCGCGGUAAUACGUAGGUGGCAAGCGUUAUCCGGAAUUAUUGGGCGUAAAGCGCGCGUAGGCGGUUUCUUAAGUCUGAUGUGAAAGCCCACGGCUCAACCGUGGAGGGUCAUUGGAAACUGGGAAACUUGAGUGCAGAAGAGGAAAGUGGAAUUCCAUGUGUAGCGGUGAAAUGCGCAGAGAUAUGGAGGAACACCAGUGGCGAAGCGACUUUCUGGUCUGUAACUGACGCUGAUGUGCGAAAGCGUGGGGAUCAAACAGGAUUAGAUACCCUGGUAGUCCACGCCGUAAACGAUGAGUGCUAG